RNAcentral lists this transfer RNA (89 nucleotides) under Erysiphe necator (grape powdery mildew). It matches the Rfam family "tRNA". From Rfam's summary of the family: Transfer RNA (tRNA) molecules are approximately 80 nucleotides in length. Their secondary structure includes four short double-helical elements and three loops (D, anti-codon, and T loops). The record is from Rfam by way of RNAcentral. Lineage: Eukaryota; Fungi; Ascomycota; Leotiomycetes; Helotiales; Erysiphaceae.
GCCCGGGUAGCUCAAUCGGUAGAGCGUGUGGCUCUUAUCCCAGAGAGAUAGUUACCUCAAGGUCGCGGGUUCGAGCCCCGCCUCGGGCU